This is a long non-coding RNA of Camelus dromedarius (Arabian camel), 515 nucleotides long. RefSeq lists it as uncharacterized. The transcript is spliced from 3 exons. The record is from RefSeq and is a predicted model, not a curated record. Lineage: Eukaryota; Metazoa; Chordata; Mammalia; Artiodactyla; Camelidae.
GACAAAAUACUCCGUAACGCUGACGAGACGGUGGCCGAAUGAAGACAAACUGCUUCCACACGAGGGACGUCAGAGAUUGAGCUAAUUUAAACAGAUCUCUGAGUAAAUAGAUCCCUUUUGGAGCUUUCGGCAUUUUCUGUCUCGCUGUUUUAAAGCAGGGGAGAAGACGUGUAAACACUACUUCGGACCGAGUGGAAUCUUUCCUUUGGUUGCUAAACAAAACAAUGCUUCCCACAACCCUCCAAACUUCUACCGGCUGGAUGAUUACUACAGAUUACAUAAUCUACAACAUACAAAAUAGUCCUGGGAUCCAACCCGGAAAAAUUUUCACAAAUCCCCUUACAAUAAAGGUUAAAUAAAAGCAGCAAGCCAAAGCACAAGCCACAAAAGAAAAUAAAUAAAUAAAUAAAGUGGACUACAACAAAAUUAACAACUUUACUGCUGCAAAUAAUACUAUCAAGAAUGGGAAAUGACUGCUGUAUAAGGUUUAUUUGGAAGUGAUGAAAAUAUAAACA